GUGUCAGCAGCCGCGGUAAUACGGAGGGUGCAAGCGUUAUCCGGAUUCACUGGGUUUAAAGGGUGUGUAGGCGGGCAUUUAAGUCAGUGGUGAAAUCUCCGAGCUCAACUCGGAAACUGCCAUUGAUACUAUUUGUCUUGAAUAUCGUUGAGGUUGGCGGAAUAUAUCAUGUAGCGGUGAAAUGCUUAGAUAUGAUAUAGAACACCGAUUGCGAAGGCAGCUAACUAAGCGAUGAUUGACGCUGAGGCACGAAAGCGUGGGGAUCAAACAGGAUUAGAUACCCUGGUAGUCC
RNAcentral lists this ribosomal RNA (292 nucleotides) under uncultured bacterium. Its description in RNAcentral is "partial 16S ribosomal RNA". It matches the Rfam family "Bacterial small subunit ribosomal RNA", at positions 505 to 796 of the family's 1533-position model. The record is from RNAcentral.